Molecule: ribosomal RNA, 492 nt
Filed under: uncultured bacterium
Lineage: Bacteria
Description: partial 16S ribosomal RNA
Rfam family: Bacterial small subunit ribosomal RNA
Source: RNAcentral
AGUGAACGCUGGCGGUAGGCCUAACACAUGCAAGUCGAACGGCAGCACAGUAAGAGUUUGCUCUUACGGGUGGCGAGUGGCGGACGGGUGAGGAAUGCAUCGGAAUCUACUUUUUCGUGGGGGAUAACGUAGGGCAGCUUACGCUACUACAGCAUAUGACGUACGGGUGAAAGCAGGGGUUCUUCGCACCUUUCGCGAUUGAAUGAGCCGAUGUCGGAUUAGCUAGUUGGCAGGGUAAAGGCCCACCAAGGCGAGGAUCCGUAGCUGGUCUGAGAGGAUGAUCAGCCACACUGGAACGGAGACACGUUCCAGAUUCCAAGGGGGGGCAGAGUAGGGAAACAUUGGACAAGGGGGGAAAGUCUGAUCCAGCCAUACCGCGGAGUGGAAGAAGGCCUUCGAGUUGUAAAGCCCUUUUGUUGGGAAAGAAAAGCAUCUGAGUAAUACCCCGCUGUUCUGACGGUACCCAAAGGAUAAGCACCGGCUAACUUCGUG